UUGUGCCAGCAGCCGCGGUAAUACGAAGGGGGCUAGCGUUGCUCGGAAUCACUGGGCGUAAAGGGCGCGUAGGCGGCCAUUUAAGUCGGGGGUGAAAGCCUGUGGCUCAACCACAGAAUUGCCUUCGAUACUGGGUGGCUUGAGUCCGGAAGAGGUUGGUGGAACUGCGAGUGUAGAGGUGAAAUUCGUAGAUAUUCGCAAGAACACCGGUGGCGAAGGCGGCCAACUGGUCCGGAACUGACGCUGAGGCGCGAAAGCGUGGGGAGCAAACAGGAUUAG
This 279-nucleotide ribosomal RNA is filed under the name uncultured Hyphomicrobiales bacterium. RNAcentral describes it as "uncultured Rhizobiales bacterium partial 16S ribosomal RNA". It matches the Rfam family "Bacterial small subunit ribosomal RNA", at positions 503 to 781 of the family's 1533-position model. The record is from RNAcentral. Lineage: Bacteria; Pseudomonadati; Pseudomonadota; Alphaproteobacteria; Hyphomicrobiales.